UAUUCCACCCCACUGGGAGAAUGGGCUUUGGCGCCACAUUGCUUUGUCUGUGUUCACCUUGGAAACAGAUAGGCCACAAAGCAAGCAAGGUUCGCAGGGAUCAGGGUAAGGUUCCAAUGCCCAGCUUUGGUGUCGUCUUCCUGGAUCCAUGGAUGCGGAUAACAGAAAAAGGCAUCAUUCUUAGGUGCCUGCAGGGAGUUGCAUCAUUAGGUCAUGUCUUAGCCUUGUAGAUAAGCUAAGACACGUAAGGAGUACAGAAGAGGCAGUAUAUCAAGGUGAGAUGAUUCAUUACUUGUCCAGCAUGAACUGUUCUGUGUUGGUUAACCAGGUAAGCCUGAGGCUGUAAGUAAAGCUUUCUAAAGAACCUAGAUUAUUUAUUUUGUGGCCAGUCCCUAGUUAUUCCUAUUAAUAAACUACCUCAACCGUUUAGGCUUAAUUUCCACUCAGCACACGAGUAGCUGUGGAAUGCCAAGCUUCUGAGAACAGAUUCCACAUAAGAUCCUCUUCUUCCUUUUCAUCUUUGCCCAGGCAGCCCAUGUCUGCUGAAUAUUGGAUGUUCAUAUUUUAUCUUGACAAGCAAGCUGAGUUAAAGAAGUAGGCAUAUGUUAUAUCUGUCCCUGGAGCAUGUGUGUUUGCACUGAAAUCAAAGAAAGAUAAAGGAGAAAAGCUAUCAUCAAAUUAUACGUUUAAUCCUUCCAAAUAUUUAGAAAGUAGAAUGAUUUCCAUCACAAAACACUGGCUACAUGUGAAUAGAUCUUUUGCAGAAAUUGUGUGCUAUCAGUAUUGGUAUAUACCGUACACCCUAUACUCCUUUAAAGUAUUUCAUUACAAAUGGUAUGUGUAUGUGUGUGUGCACAUAUGUGUGCAUGAGCAUGUGUUUUGUUUACUGAGUAGUUAAUUACCUCAUGGUUAUCCAUUUCUCUAGACUGCAAGCUUUCUCAAGGUAGAUCCUAUGUCCCACUUUUCAGUGUGGGUUCUCAGUUGUCCGCAUGGCUGUGACAACAGUUCCACACAACCAGAAAGGUCACGCGCUGCACCUCGAUAUUUGCUCUCCUGCAUUUAUAAUAUAUAUAUAUAUAUAUAUAUAUAUAUAUGACAAAAAAUUGCUCUUCAGCAGAAAACCAUAUUGUGAGAGAAAAUAAAUGUAUUUACUUUAAUCCAUGCAAUGCCUUGAGAACCUGUGUAAUUGGGCCUUACAGCCAUCCAUGAGUGAAAGGCAUUCUCUCUUGUACUCUUCUUCUGUCUUUAGUCUCUCCAGGGAGUCACCUGGGAGCUCUGACCGUGGGUCCAGGUGUAUGGCAGGAAGCUAAGCAAUGUUGUUCAGGUGUGAGGAUGUCUUCACCAUGGGUGUUAGUUACUUUUCUGUUUCCAGGCUAGAAAACCAUGACCAAGGCACCUUCCAGAGGGUAGGGUGUAUUGGGACUUUCAGCACCAUAAGAAGAAUCUAUACUGGUGGGAGAGACCCAGCAGCAGGUCUUGGAGUAGGAGGAUGAGAGAACACACUUUCAACUGCAAACAUGAAGCGGAGAUUGUUCACUGGAAGCAGGAUGAGGCUAUAAACACCCAACGUGUAUCCCCAUGAUGUCCUUCCUCCAGCAAGGCUCCACCCCACCAAGGUUCUACAGUUUCUUCAAAAGGCAGCACCAACUGGGGACCAAGUGUUUAAAACAUGAACCCAUGGGGGGCAUUUCUUAUUUGAUCUACCACAAUAUGGAUGUCUCCAAAAUGACAAAACUUGGGAAACCCCGACUGAAGAAUCAUCGCCACUGAACUGGCCUAUGGGCAUGCCUGUGGAGGAUUUCCUGGAUUGUCAAUUGAUGUAGGAGAGCCCAGGCCACCGUGGGAGUCACCGUUCCUAGGCAGCUCCGUUGCCCACAAGCAGCCAAGCUGAUUCUGAUGAAACAAACCACAGAAGACAAAUUUGCCUCCACCUUGGUCACCACGUUAACACUAAAUUUCCUAAGGUAUGGAUACCUAGGUUAUAUAAGGAGAAGUUAUUAAUAA
This is a long non-coding RNA of Alexandromys fortis (reed vole), 2004 nucleotides long. RefSeq lists it as uncharacterized. The transcript has 3 exons. NCBI's taxonomy places the organism in Eukaryota, Metazoa, Chordata, Mammalia, Rodentia, Cricetidae. The record is from RefSeq and is a predicted model, not a curated record.